Gadus macrocephalus (Pacific cod) is the source of this 900-nucleotide long non-coding RNA. RefSeq lists it as uncharacterized. The transcript is spliced from 3 exons. The record is from RefSeq and is a predicted model, not a curated record. NCBI's taxonomy places the organism in Eukaryota, Metazoa, Chordata, Actinopteri, Gadiformes, Gadidae.
UGUUCCGUCCAUUAUCAAGGAGUACUGCAGUACAGGUAAAGCAUGGAUGUUUUUAGCUAUUUGUCUGAUAAUGGCGUUGCUCAUUAACUGCAGUAUCUCAUUCUGACACUCAGGACUUGUGUAGGCAUGGUUUCUCAGCAACCAGCUUGCCAGUUUUGGGUCACUCUCAGCCUUCUCCUCCAGAUGCUGCUUGAAGUUUCCCUCAUCAUUGUCAUGGCCUCUGAGAGCUAAUCCCUGUCUAGCAAGCAACAAUGUGUGCCUUACUGUUGGUGUGCUUGUCGAACGCCUCCCUACCCUUCUUCCAGUUCCUGAACCCCAAGGAAAUGAAGCUCCCGGUCCCUGCACUUCUUUGUUUUGUUCUGUUGCACUUGGUUCCUUUUCCUGAUGACAGAUGGUUCAUAAAUAAAACAAACAUUUAUUGGCACUUGUGUUUGGUUUUUAUUUAACGUUUUAGCAUAGAUUUGGGGUAAAUCGUACUUGUUUUUUGCAUAGUUUUAGGGUAUAUUCUGUUUUUUCUUAUGAAUAGUAUGGAUAAUCAUAUAGGGACAUCUAGUGGUAAAUCCGCAGAUUUCAAACGUGUGAAAAACGCAAUUUGGUAUCUAGUCGUUUGAUUUGUCGACUGUCAGCCACUGUAGAAACAUGGCGUUGUAAAAUGACAAGAGUCUGCAUUCCCAUGGUGGCGCAUACAGAUCGAACAUUGUGAAAUGAGAGAACGUGAACUUGGAAGGCUAGCUUUUAUGACUUCUAGUACUUGCGAAGGCUAACGCAAUAUCAUGGAAUUAACUUGAGAUAUAUAUGGAACAGGAACACUAGAAACAAUCGCUACUGUACAAAAGGUAUUCCACUCAACCAAUAAAAGUGGAAGACAAAUUUGUAGUAGGCAAAGCAUAGACUAGCUAA